Arachis ipaensis is the source of this 627-nucleotide non-coding RNA. Lineage: Eukaryota; Viridiplantae; Streptophyta; Magnoliopsida; Fabales; Fabaceae. The record is from RefSeq and is a predicted model, not a curated record.
AAAUUGAGCCAAAUGGGCCGAGCCGGUUGAACCGGGCCCAAACCAGACCCGCGGGCCCAACCAGCCCAGUAUAUAAAUGAGCUAAAGCUCAUUUUCUGCCUUAGAACACAACAGAAGCAGCGUAAAUGCAUGGAGAAGAAGAGAAUGAAUUCCAAAACCUAGCUUGAUCUUCUUUCUUUGAUAACUUUUGAUCCGGAGCUCCGAUUGACGAGCCGUUUGCGGCCACGCGUCGGGCCCGUUGAGUUCUUCAAUUCUAUUCAAAUAAAACAGGGUCCACUAGACUUGAUUUCUUGUGGGUAUUGCCCAAGAAUCAGUGGGUGAAGGUAGUGUGUAUGUGAAUGUUGAUGCUUGUUGGAGGCUUGUUGGUGAUCAAGCUUGGUUUGGGGCUGUUUGAUUGAGUUUGAGGGGCUGUAAUUUUGAGUUGUGAGGCUGCCUUGGGUGAAUUAAGUGAUCGGCCAAGAUGCAGGUCGAGAGGCUCCUCGCUAGACGUCUGGAUCUUGGGAAGCGAAGUAGUCCUUGGGUGUAUUUUGGUUUUUUGGUUGUAUAUAUGUAUAUAUUUGUUUAGCUUACUCUCCAAGUAACUUGUGUAUGCUGCUCCUCUUAGAGGUUGAGGGAGAGAUAGGAGUU